AGACUGAAAUAAAAGAACCCGUGCCUGCUUCUUUCAGCCAGGACCAUCAGUUAAGGCCCAUGGGGAAAACUGCUGCUGAUGAAAACCCCACAGCUCAGAAAUUUAUUGUUAUUCAAGAAAGUCUGACAAGGCAGAUUCUCUUACCAUUUCCCACAUUCUCUUGUCUCCUGGGUGACCUGUAACGCACCAUGCUUCGAACCCCUUUAAACAACUUCUCAAACAAACAAACACCCAUGAGCCCCUCAACAACUGAGCAGCCAUGAACUAGAAGCACCAUAAACAGGGCAGAGACAGGAUAAAUUCCAACUGAUGGAUUCUCUACAUGAGGGGGAGCUGCCAAGAGUCACCCCACAGCGGAGGGAGAGGGCAUCAAAUCCGGUUCCCUCUGGAGUCCACACCCAAGUGAGUCCAUUCCAGGCAAGCUACGCCAGUGAACACAGCACAGCCACUGGUGAAAGACACGGGGGACCGGAAGCUUAGAUAAGAGCCUGGGAAGGCCACAGCGGAUUGUGAGCGUCAGAAAACAAUCCCAGUCCCUCAUCUGCCCGAGACUGGCUGCCAACUGUCACAUUCUGAAAGGAGACAGAUUGUUGAAGUGCAUGCGAACUGGUAGCUGCACCCUCUCACUCAAGUGAUCCUCUUUCCAUAUAUUUACACCACUUAACUCCCUCCGAUGUAUUGGACAAGGAAAAAAGGGUACUUAAAAAAAAACAUAAAUGUUCCUUGUCAGAUACAUUUUAAUAGCCCAAAUAUUUUUCAUAAUAAAAAGCAAAAAAAAAGGCUAAUUGCAUAAGGUAAUUUAUUCAGUUAGAUAUGUGACACUCCCCAGAUGUCCAGAGAGCAGGUUCAAAACCCUGAAUAAAGAAAGCUCUAUGCCCCCUUCCCCAAAAAACCACCAACUAUGUCUGCCAGUUUUCAAAUCUCGUAAACUCAUGAAGUUGGUUAAACUUUGAACUUUGGCUUGGUUUUGGAUAACAAGAACCACCGGGUAGUUGUCUGAGGAAGAAGUGUUUUGUAGAGCAGGUAAAACCAUACGUACUCUCUGGGCUGCAUGGUUUUGUUACCUUACAUCUGGAAGCCAAUGCUACGGACGCAAACUGGCUGCUAAGAUAGUGUCCCUGUGCCCUGGCUGUGUGACUCUGGCAACUUGCUCAUCCUUUGUGGGUCUGUGGAUCAGCUGUAACACUGAGAUCCUCUUCUCUCAUGAUGGAAGGAAAUGACAGAAGGGAAACGCUUACCCCAGAGAGUAUGUAUGAUCUGAGGAGAUCUGCAGAUCUGAGGAGAACUCACCUCCUUUCCUUUCUCCUGCUCUCACUCCCUGAAAUGCCCAAGCAGACUCUGCUCCCUUCCAUCCAGCUCAGCAAGUGCCAUGUUCUCUAGAAGACUUGAUGACGCCCAUGCUCAAGACACUGUUGGUCCAGCGGUUUGCUUAGCUCUACCUGUUGGGGACUUGAGGUAUCUUCUGCAAUCUGCAUAAACAGCCCCCCAUGGUUCUGUUGUGGGACUUCCCUUAAAAUAAAAAAUACCUCCAGAAAGAUGGUGACACUUCAUGACUCCAGGAGACAGAAAAGCAGGAAUCAACUCUAUGAGAAACUGAAGAGAAAGUGCUGUACCACGUGGCAAGUGAGUUAGCCGGUCUUAUCAGAAUCAUAUUGGGUGACAUAAAUUUUUUCACCCCCCCAGAGAACUGACCUCUAAGAGUUGCAGAAAAACCCCCUCUACACUUCAAGCCCUGCUUGUCUACUAUCAAUUUCCCUCCUCUUAUUUGUGUGUAUGUCUGUGUGUGUGUGUUUCUGUCUAUAUAUGUAUAUGUAUAUACACAUGCACACACAUAUGAAAGCCAGAAGAUAACCUUGGGUAUUUUUCCUCAGGCAUCAUCCUGACAGGCUCUUUCAUUG
Long non-coding RNA from Alexandromys fortis (reed vole), 1898 nucleotides. RefSeq lists it as uncharacterized. Lineage: Eukaryota; Metazoa; Chordata; Mammalia; Rodentia; Cricetidae. The record is from RefSeq and is a predicted model, not a curated record. The transcript has 3 exons.